AACGAACGCUGGCGGCAUGCCUAACACAUGCCAGUCGAACGAGACCUUCGGGUCUAGUGGCGCACGGGUGCGUAACGCGUGGGAACCUGCCCUUAGGUUCGGAAUAACUCCCCGAAAGGGGUGCUAAUACCGGAUAAUGUCUUCGGACCAAAGAUUUAUCGCCUUUGGAUGGGCCCGCGUUGGAUUAGCUAGUUGGUAGGGUAAAAGCCUACCAAGGCGACGAUCCAUAGCUGGUCUGAGAGGAUGAUCAGCCACACUGGGACUGAGACACGGCCCAGACUCCUACGGGAGGCAGCAGUGGGGAAUAUUGGACAAUGGGCGAAAGCCUGAUCCAGCAAUGCCGCGUGAGUGAUGAAGGCCUUAGGGUUGUAAAGCUCUUUUACCCGGGAUGAUAAUGACAGUACCGGGAGAAUAAGCUCUGGCUAACUCCGUG
This 433-nucleotide ribosomal RNA is filed under the name uncultured bacterium. RNAcentral's name for it is "partial 16S ribosomal RNA". It matches the Rfam family "Bacterial small subunit ribosomal RNA", at positions 29 to 507 of the family's 1533-position model. The record is from RNAcentral.